CUAAAAAUAACUGGAAGGCUAACUCCUAUGAUGAAAGUCUAUGAUUCGUUGAAGCCGGCGCGCGGGAAAAUCAGCUUUCAAAAGGACUAAGGAGAGUUUCUAGGAGUGAAAAAAAUUCUGCCAAAAGUUUGUUUUCGAGCAAAAAUUUGCAAGAAAAACACUUUUUCCAUGGGAAUACAACAAUGAUUGGGAUUUAAACCAGGUUUUCCGAUUAGUCCCAACUGUUUUACAUCUCUCUGCAGCAAAAAGUAAGGAGUUUUGCUUUUGUAUUUUGAAAAAAUGACGAAAGUUUGGACGUGCCGAAGGAAACCUCGCCGUUCAACUCAAAAAUAUAUACUAUAAAACAUUUUGACAGUCCCAAAAUUUAUGUUGUACUAAACCCUAGGUAUUGUUAUUGAUCCUGAGCUUUUAGUCCUUGUUUUAGUCGCUUUUAAACAUAAAUAAAUUGGCGUUUUUCAAGUGAUGUUAUUUUCGUCAUCGGCAUCUUGUUGGCCACUAUGAGCAUUUUGAAUAUGGCAUAUUUUUGUCAAUUUUCAAAUGCUUUUUUUUCGACCUUAAAACUUUCAAUCUUCUUGAAACUUCGCAUACAGAUGUAUUUUGCAUGGGUUUAAAUAAUUCCUGAGGUAUGACGUCUUAGUUUUAUCUUAAACUUCCAAAAACUCAGAAAAAGCAGCCUAAAACGCGCG
RNAcentral lists this long non-coding RNA (686 nucleotides) under Paramuricea clavata. Lineage: Eukaryota; Metazoa; Cnidaria; Anthozoa; Malacalcyonacea; Plexauridae. The record is from RNAcentral.